CAGGGGCCCUGGAGGAGGAGGCUCGAGGGGCCACUGAAGCAGGUUGCUCUCAAAGAGGGCCCGUGGGGGCGGGGGCGGGAGACCACAGCUCGGCAGGCGCCACAGGAAGGGCCCCGCCCCUUCCUGUCAGCUCUACCAACGGCCCCGCAGCAGCUGUGCCUGCGCCAAGGGGAAGCUGCAACUCUCAAAAACAAAAACCCAAAGGAGGAACUUCCCCGGCCGCCCUGGAAGACUGCUGGGCCCCCACCCCCUUCACGGGGCUCCCAGGGCUGACCGCCAGGGGCCGGGAGGCACAGUGGGUCACCAUCCCGGGGGGACGCGGGGUGCUCGUCACAACCCUGCCCCAUCAGAUGGGAGGCCAGACCUCCAGGGAGGGAACAGAGGCCAGCCGGCUGGGGUGGGGGCAGGAGAGCGGCCUCAGGGUCCUCCUGCCCCCUCGCCCCAGGCCCGGGGCAGCUGGACGGUGGCGGGAAGUCCUUGGGGCUGGCAGACCUCGUACUCACCCAGCUUCUGGGAGAAGAUCUUCUCAAAGGUCACCUCGCCCCGGUCUUCCAGGUACUUCUGCAUGACGCUUCGGAUGCUGAAAGACAGCGGGGGUGGGGGGGUGCCCUCAGUGAGCCGGAGCCCCCGGGGCUCCUGCCAGGCCUGCUGGCCCUGCCUCUUCCCCCCGGGAUCCAGAAUGUCACUGUUCCCUCCAAGAAGGCAAACUACCAGCCCGGGCCUGCCCACCUGGGCUCUGUCCCCAAAAGCUAGGGUGGCCAGCAGGUGGCUGCUCAGAAGUCCGGUCCCAGUACUGCCUCAUGCUGGCUUCGGGAACCUGGCCAAACCUCAAAAGCCGGGCCUCACCAUCAGCAGAUGAUGGGUAACCAAAAUGGGGCCUAUCCUUACCACGGAAUACUGCUCGGCCGUAAGGUGGGACAAAGCACUGAUAUACAGAAAUGCUACGACAUGGAUGAACCCUAGCACGCAGCGAAACGAAAAAAGAGAGUCACAAAAGGCCCCCAGUUCUAUGAUGCCACUUACGUCGCAUGUCCAGAACAGGCAAAUCUACAGAGAGCAGAUUAGUGGGUGCCAGGGGCUGGGGCACAGAAGAGGAGUGACUGCCAACAGAAGGCUGGAAGAUGCCGUGACCUCCUCCAACAGCAAGAAGGGUGCUGAUGACCAGGACAGCCCUCCCGUGUCCCUAUCCUGCGACUCCAACCAACGAGAGCGGAGCUCCCGGCUGAGGGCCGGUGGCUUGGUGGCCCCACGCCAAAGUGGUGGCCACUUCAGAGCUGGUUCCCUCAGGAAAGCAAGGAUGCCCUCUGCAGUGGACAGGGGCCCUGAGGCCAGGAUGUGGUCCUCACCCAGGCCGGCACCGUCUGCCCUCCUGACUGUCACAUGCCAGCUCGCUUCCACCAGCCACCAUCAAGAACACAUCUCCCCAGCCCCAGGGACCCACAGAGACUCACAGGCACUCGGGAGGCGAGGCCUGAUUCCAAGGCCUGCUCUGUGCUCACACACGCCAGAAACUAGAGACACCUGCCCUGGGGCCAGCAGCCCAAAGACCAGAGCCCCUCAUUUCCUGUGAGGGAGAGCUUAGGACCUCCUUUUUGGAGGACAGGAGGGCAGGCCAGGGGCGUGCUGGGGUGCAGCGUAGCAGCCAGGGCCCAGUGCAAGGCAGCGAAGGGCCGGCAGGGUCUUGAGACCGGGCAGCCAGGAGUUAGGGGCUCGGAACCUGGGGCUCUGUAAGGGCCAAGUGCCUGGAUUUCACCUGUAAGGUGGAACAGGAAGGCUGGAUCCUCACCACCCCUUGGCUCAGCUCUUGGCACGCCAUGUCUGCACCCAAAUCCUGUGUUUGGGGACAUUUUGGUCUAUGGAAGGGGAUGGACAAGGUAAUAAAGUGGGGGCCGGGGGAAUCACAAAAUGUCAAUCCCCCACGGAGGUGAGUGGUCAGAUGGAGGUCAGGUGCAGUCAAGCGGGAUGAUGUCCAGAUGCUUCAGACCCAGAUGGGAAGCCCCCCUGAGCCCCAAACUGGCUUCCUGGGAAUCAGCGUGGCUGACACCAGCUUAGGGAAGGCAGCGUGAUGGGAACACCCCCCGCUUCCCACCACAGGACCCGGUGACCCCCAGAACGGCUGGGAACCGGACCCUCCAGGGAAAUGCCCUCUCCCCGAGGGCCCGUGGACGAGGGAGCCAGCCUGCAGCCCAGCCUUCUCCCUUCCCGGCGGCUCUGCUGUGGGGUCAGCCCAGGAGAGAGCAGAAAGUGGGGCACCGGUGGCCAGACCCCGCCUCCCCUCUGGAGCUGCAUGGGACGCCUCUCUUCCCAGCCCACAGCACUUCACUUUCUUCCUUAAAAAGAAAAAAAAAAGUUUUCUAAAUAAAAUAAACAACCCCCCCC
This is a long non-coding RNA of Felis catus (domestic cat), 2379 nucleotides long. RefSeq lists it as uncharacterized. Lineage: Eukaryota; Metazoa; Chordata; Mammalia; Carnivora; Felidae. The record is from RefSeq and is a predicted model, not a curated record. The transcript is spliced from 2 exons.